UUCCGGUUGAUCCCGCCGGAGGUCACUGCUAUCGGGGUUCGAUUAAGCCAUGCGAGUCGAGAGGGUUCGGCCCUCGGCGUACUGCUCAGUAACACGUGGAUAACCUGCCCUAGGGAAGGGGAUAACCCCGGGAAACUGGGGAUAAUACCCUAUAGAUUACAGAUGCUGGAAUGCCCUGUAAUCCAAAGUUCCGACGCCCUAGGAUGGAUCUGCGGCCGAUUAGGUUGUUGUUGGGGUAAUGGCCCAACAAGCCCGUAAUCGGUACGGGUUGUGGGAGCAAGAGCCCGGAGUUGGAUUCUGAGACACGAAUCCAGGCCCUACGGGGCGCAGCAGGCGCGAAAACUUUACAAUGCGGGCAACCGUGAUAAGGGAACCUCGAGUGCCUGUAAAUGCAGGCUGUUCAGGUGCCUAAAACACACCUGAAGAAAGGGCCGGGCAAGACCGGUGCCAGCCGCCGCGGUAAUACCGGCGGCUCGAGUGGUGGCCGCUUUUAUUGGGCUUAAAGCGUUCGUAGCUGGGUUGUUAAGUCUCUUGGGAAAUCUGGCGGCUUAACCGUCAGGCGUCUAAGGGAUACUGGCAAUCUUGGAACCGGGAGAGGUGAGGGGUACUUCGGGGGUAGGAGUGAAAUCCUGUAAUCCUCGAGGGACCACCUGUGGCGAAGGCGCCUCACCAGAACGGCUUCGACAGUGAGGGACGAAAGCUGGGGGAGCAAACCGGAUUAGAUACCCGGGUAGUCCCAGCCGUAAACUAUGCGCGUUAGGUGUAUCGGUGACCACGAGUUACCGAGGUGCCGAAGGGAAACCGUGAAACGUGCCGCCUGGGAAGUACGGUCGCAAGGCUGAAACUUAAAGGAAUUGGCGGGGGAGCACCACAACAGGUGGAGCCUGCGGUUUAAUUGGACUCAACGCCGGGAAGCUCACCGGAUAAGACAGCAGAAUGAUUGCCGGGCUGAAGACUCUGCAUGACUAGCUGAGAGGAGGUGCAUGGCC
This 989-nucleotide ribosomal RNA is filed under the name uncultured archaeon. RNAcentral's name for it is "bacterial SSU rRNA". It matches the Rfam family "Archaeal small subunit ribosomal RNA", at positions 1 to 999 of the family's 1478-position model. The record is from RNAcentral.